Molecule: ribosomal RNA, 810 nt
Filed under: Triticum aestivum (bread wheat)
Lineage: Eukaryota; Viridiplantae; Streptophyta; Magnoliopsida; Poales; Poaceae
Description: partial small subunit ribosomal RNA
Source: RNAcentral
AUGACUGACAAUUUCAUCAUCAAGAAGAUCCUUAAAGCCUUGGAUGGUAAAUAUGAUACCGUGUGCACUUUGAUCCAAAUGAUGCCCAAUUACAAAAAUCUCAAGCCCACUGAAGUCAGAAUUGUUGCUCAUCAGAUGUCACUCAAGGAUAAGGAAGAGCUCCACAACAAGUCAAGUGGUGCAUACAAAGCUUCAAGUGAUGCUCCUACAACAUCAAGUGACAAGCUAGUAGCCAAUGAGGAAUUGAGUCUAAUGGUGAAAAACUUCAAUAAAUUCUACAAGAGUAGAAGCAAAGAUAGAAGCUCCAAGUCAAGGUCCUACAAUGAGAAAAGAUCUUCUAGUCAUGAUCGUAGUUGCUACAAUUCUGAAAGACCCGGACACUACUUCAAUGAGUGUACGCCACCUUAUAAGAAAAGAGAAGACUCACCUAAAAGGAGGAGUAGAAGAGAUGAAUCACCUCAUAGAGAGAGGAGUAGAGAUGAUCGUUAUGAACAACGACCCUCUCGAAGAAGUAAGGAUUCAGAAAGGAAAGACAAGUCAUCAAAGAGCUACACAAGACGAAGACAUCAAGCUCAUGUUGGUGAAUGGGUUUCCGACUCCGACCCCGACACUCACUCCGGGAGAAGCUAUCACUCCGACUCCGACUAUACUCAAGAUGAAGGUGUUGUCGGUCUUGCACUAGUGUCAUCCUACUCCCACGACAUAUUUGAUUCACCAAAUGAAGGAAUUGGAAGAUGCUUCAUGGCUAAAGGCCCCAAGGUAUCACACCCCGAGUAUCUUUAUUUUAAUAGUGAUGAAGAUGAUUUGUAG